This 510-nucleotide unclassified non-coding RNA is filed under the name Hevea brasiliensis (rubber tree). The record is from RNAcentral. Lineage: Eukaryota; Viridiplantae; Streptophyta; Magnoliopsida; Malpighiales; Euphorbiaceae.
GUUGUGUUCCAUAUUUACCAAAGGAGACUCAGUUGUAUGCUUGCCAAGGAUAAAAUAUCCUGUGAAAUUGCUCAUUCCCUCUCCUCCCUGCCUUAUUUAUUCUUUUUCUGCUGGAAAGUUGGUUGUUUAUUUUUGAGGGAUAAAUAUGUCAGAUCACUCCCAUGAUCCCAUCCCAUCCAGUCUCUCUAGCUCUCCUUGACACCUUAUAUGCAUGAACGCAAUUAUGCAUGUUUAUGUUAAAGGAUUUUCUUUAUAGUUUAUACCAUGGUGUUGGUAGCCCCUAUUGAGUCUGUGCUAACUUGUUAUGGAAAGUUCAUCAUGUUAAUAUUGUUACUUGUUGCUGUGCAUACUUGAUUUCUUAAGUUAAAAUAAUCUGCUUUUGUCACUUCAAACCAAAAAUGGACUCCAUCUCCUGUUUCUCUUGCUGUAUUUGUAUGAGCGCAUGCACAUGUGCAUGCUUUUCUUUUUUAAAGGAUUUUCUUUAUACCACUGUGUUGCUUGCCUCUCUUG